GAUGAACGCUGGCGGCGUGCUUAACACAUGCAAGUCGAACGGAAAGGCUCCUGCUUGCAGGGGUACUCGAGUGGCGAACGGGUGAGUAACACGUGGGUGAUCUGCCCUGCACUUCGGGAUAAGCCUGGGAAACUGGGUCUAAUACCGGAUAGGACGAUGGUUUGGAUGCCAUUGUGGAAAGUUUUUUCGGUGUGGGAUGAGCUCGCGGCCUAUCAGCUUGUUGGUGGGGUAAUGGCCUACCAAGGCGUCGACGGGUAGCCGGCCUGAGAGGGUGUACGGCCACAUUGGGACUGAGAUACGGCCCAGACUCCUACGGGAGGCAGCAGUGGGGAAUAUUGCACAAUGGGCGGAAGCCUGAUGCAGCGACGCCGCGUGGGGGAUGACGGCCUUCGGGUUGUAAACUCCUUUCGCUAGGGACGAAGCGCGAGUGACGGUACCUGGAGAAGAAGCACCGGCUAACUACGUG
Molecule: ribosomal RNA, 466 nt
Filed under: uncultured bacterium
Lineage: Bacteria
Description: partial 16S ribosomal RNA
Rfam family: Bacterial small subunit ribosomal RNA
Source: RNAcentral